GGCGUAAGGACGAAUACGCUCCAGGAGGUGUCCUCGCGCAUUCCGGGGGGGAGUGUUGACUACGCCCCGUCGACAUCUAACGCAGUGCAGACUCUACCUGAAACAAUGCACGCCACACCCAGCGCUGGACAAGGGAUUGAGUAGGCAUCUAAAGUAAACAACAACAUACGUAUUGGAUUGUCCUAGAGCUUGAAUUCGCUGCAUUUGAGGCAAUUAUCCUAAUUAAGUUUCCAAAAAAAUACGUUUUCCUCUUUCAUCAUAUCUAUUAAAUAUUCCUCCUAAAUUCACGUAGUAAGGUGAGAGAAGAUUGAAUUACAUAUAUGUACGUAGAAGUAAUAUCAUGUAUAAAUUGUUGCAUAGGUUAGUUGUUCGUGGCUCACUCAGGGUUGCUCUAUCUACGAGACAGUCAGUAAGCUAAAACUACAUAAAUAGCGAGUAGUAAGGGGGUGCUCAAACGAAAACGAAUCGAAGCUAGUUGCGCGAGAAGAGAACUACCGAAUUGAUCACUAACAGAAUUUUGUAAUUUACUGAAAUAAAUUUACGGAAUUACGAUCACAGUUCUUCGACUGCGCAACAGGCCUAUAGUAUACUUCGCCUUAAAUGGGCUGAGUUGGGGUCAAUUAAGUGGGUAUCACCUAUCAUGAAACAAUCCUUAAAU
Aedes aegypti (yellow fever mosquito) is the source of this 658-nucleotide long non-coding RNA. RefSeq lists it as uncharacterized. NCBI's taxonomy places the organism in Eukaryota, Metazoa, Arthropoda, Insecta, Diptera, Culicidae. The record is from RefSeq and is a predicted model, not a curated record. The transcript has 3 exons.